UACAGAGGGGGCAAGCGUUAUUCGGAAUUACUGGGCGUAAAGGGUGUGCAGGCGGGCUGUUAAGUGGGGUAUGAAAUAUCCCGGCUCAACCGGGAGAGGUUAUGCCAGACUGGCAGUCUAGAGAGCGAGAGAGGGACGUGGAAUUCCGGGUGUAGUGGUGAAAUGCGUAGAGAUCCGGAGGAACCCCAGAGGCGAAGGCGGCGUCCUGGCUCGCAUCUGACGCUCAGACACGACAGCAUGGGGAGCGAACGGG
This 253-nucleotide ribosomal RNA is filed under the name uncultured bacterium. Its description in RNAcentral is "partial 16S ribosomal RNA". It matches the Rfam family "Bacterial small subunit ribosomal RNA", at positions 524 to 776 of the family's 1533-position model. The record is from RNAcentral.